AUUGAACGCUGGCGGCAGGCCUAACACAUGCAAGUCGAGCGGAUGAAGGGAGCUUGCUCCUGGAUUCAGCGGCGGACGGGUGAGUAAUGCCUAGGAAUCUGCCUGGUAGUGGGGGAUAACGUCCGGAAACGGGCGCUAAUACCGCAUACGUCCUGAGGGAGAAAGUGGGGAAUCUUGGGACUCACGCUAUCCGAUGGACCUAGGUCGGAUUAGCUAGUUGGUGGGGUAAAGGCCUACCAAGGCGACGAUCCGUAACUGGUCUGAGAGGAUGAUCAGUCACACUGGAACUGAGACACGGUCCAGACUCCUACGGGAGGCAGCAGUGGGGAAUAUUGGACAAUGGGCGAAAGCCUGAUCCAGCCAUGCCGCGUGUGUGAAGAAGGUCUUCGGAUUGUAAAGCACUUUAAGUUGGGAGGAAGGGCAGUAAGUUAAUACCUUGCUGUUUUGACGUUACCAACAGAAUAAGCACCGGCUAACUUCGUG
Molecule: ribosomal RNA, 483 nt
Filed under: uncultured bacterium
Lineage: Bacteria
Description: partial 16S ribosomal RNA
Rfam family: Bacterial small subunit ribosomal RNA
Source: RNAcentral